AACGAACGCUGGCGGCAGGCCUAACACAUGCAAGUCGAGCGCCCCGCAAGGGGAGCGGCGGACGGGUGAGUAACGCGUGGGAACGUACCCUUUGCUACGGAAUAGCCUCGGGAAACUGGGAGUAAUACCGUAUGUGUCCUUCGGGAGAAAGAUUUAUCGGCAAGGGAUCGGCCCGCGUUGGAUUAGGUAGUUGGUGGGGUAAUGGCCUACCAAGCCGACGAUCCAUAGCUGGUUUGAGAGGAUGAUCAGCCACACUGGGACUGAGACACGGCCCAGACUCCUACGGGAGGCAGCAGUGGGGAAUCUUAGACAAUGGGCGCAAGCCUGAUCUAGCCAUGCCGCGUGAGCGAUGAAGGCCUUAGGGUUGUAAAGCUCUUUCAGGGGGGAAGAUAAUGACUGUACCCCAGAAGAAGCCCCGGCUAACUCCGUG
This 430-nucleotide ribosomal RNA is filed under the name uncultured bacterium. RNAcentral's name for it is "partial 16S ribosomal RNA". It matches the Rfam family "Bacterial small subunit ribosomal RNA", at positions 29 to 507 of the family's 1533-position model. The record is from RNAcentral.